RNAcentral lists this ribosomal RNA (473 nucleotides) under Klebsiella pneumoniae. RNAcentral describes it as "partial 23S ribosomal RNA". The stretch from base 1 to 237 matches the Rfam family "Bacterial large subunit ribosomal RNA", at positions 1804 to 2038 of the family's 2925-position model. Lineage: Bacteria; Pseudomonadati; Pseudomonadota; Gammaproteobacteria; Enterobacterales; Enterobacteriaceae. The record is from RNAcentral.
UUAUUAAAAACACAGCACUGUGCAAACACGAGAGUGGACGUAUACGUUGUGACGCCUGCCCGGUGCCGUAACGUUAAUUGAUGGGGUUAUCCGUAAGGAGAAGCUCUUGAUCGAAGCCCCGGUAAACGGCGGCCGUGACUAUAACGGUCCUAAGGUAGCGAAAUUCCUGGUCGUGUAAGUUCCGACCUUCGCGAAUGGCGUAAUGAUGGGCAGGCUGGCUACCCCCGAGCCCCUGUGGUUGGAGCUGAGACCAGUCGAAGAUACCAGCUGGCUGCAACUGUUUAUCAAAAACACAGCACUGUGCAAACACGAAAGUAGAACUAUACGGUGUUACGCCUGACAGUUGUCGGUAAGUUAAAUGAAGGGGGUAUCCGUAAGGAGAAACUCUUGAUCGAAGCCCCGGAAAACGUAGUCCCUAAAUAUAACUGUCCUGAGGUAGAUAAAUACCUUGUCGGGAAAGUUUCUAGCUGAAC